CAGCUUCAAAGUUUUUGGCGCGUUUACAGAUUCUGCAGUAAAAGUGAUCACUAAUGUCACUAAUGCAGAUCGUGGAUGGCAACUGUCGUAAAACCUCAAAUAAUGUGCCUCCGCAGAGCAUCUCUGAAAGCUUCCUUGAUACAUCUAAAAACCGCAGCAUUGUUGCAAUGUUGUCCCUCAGAAAAUUGUUUGAAGAGCCUUCUAAAGACUCCAGCUGGCUGAAGUUUCAAAAGCAAACUCAAAUGCAUUUAUGAGCUCAACUUAAAAUCAAAGUCCACAGAAAGUACCUUUAUAAAAUAAA
Toxotes jaculatrix (banded archerfish) is the source of this 301-nucleotide long non-coding RNA. RefSeq lists it as uncharacterized. The record is from RefSeq and is a predicted model, not a curated record. The transcript has 3 exons. NCBI's taxonomy places the organism in Eukaryota, Metazoa, Chordata, Actinopteri, Toxotidae.